GGAAAAGAAACCAACAGGGAUUGCCUCAGUAACGGCGAGUGAAGCGGCAAAAGCUCAAAUUUGAAAUCUGGCUCUUUCAGGGUCCGAGUUGUAAUUUGUAGAAGAUGCUUCGGGUGUGGUCCCGGUCUAAGUUCCUUGGAACAGGACGUCAUAGAGGGUGAGAAUCCCGUAUGUGACUGGGUACCUACGCUCAUGUGAAGCUCUUUCGACGAGUCGAGUUGUUUGGGAAUGCAGCUCAAAAUGGGUGGUAAAUUUCAUCUAAAGCUAAAUACUGGCCAGAGACCGAUAGCGCACAAGUAGAGUGAUCGAAAGAUGAAAAGCACUUUGGAAAGAGAGUUAAACAGUACGUGAAAUUGUUGAAAGGGAAGCGCUUGCAAUCAGACUUGCGCCUAGUUGAUCAUCCGGGCUUCUGCCCGGUGCACUCGAUUAGGCUCAGGCCAGCAUCGGUUUGGGUGGCUGGAUAAAGGCCUGGGGAACGUAGCCUCUCUCGGGGGGUGUUAUAGCCCCAGGUGCAAUGCAGCCUACCUGGACCGAGGACCGCGCUUCGGC
Molecule: ribosomal RNA, 549 nt
Filed under: Clarireedia asphodeli
Lineage: Eukaryota; Fungi; Ascomycota; Leotiomycetes; Helotiales; Rutstroemiaceae
Description: eukaryotic LSU rRNA
Rfam family: Eukaryotic large subunit ribosomal RNA
Source: RNAcentral